AUAUCUCUCCGUACGGGAAGGAUGAGAAGCUUCGACUAAGGUUCGAUUCGAGCGCAGCGAGAAAGCGUUGCCGCAGGCAACGACCCGAAGGGCGAAGCGCGCAGCG
This 106-nucleotide small RNA is filed under the name Salmonella enterica. RNAcentral's name for it is "partial RtT sRNA". It matches the Rfam family "RtT RNA", at positions 1 to 105 of the family's 130-position model. Rfam says of the family: This family represents a bacterial cis-regulatory element known as RtT RNA. The exact function of RtT is unknown although it is thought that it may be involved in changing the cellular response in relation to amino acid starvation. Lineage: Bacteria; Pseudomonadati; Pseudomonadota; Gammaproteobacteria; Enterobacterales; Enterobacteriaceae. RNAcentral also lists the same sequence under 1 other name. The record is from RNAcentral.